RNAcentral lists this unclassified non-coding RNA (286 nucleotides) under Hevea brasiliensis (rubber tree). Lineage: Eukaryota; Viridiplantae; Streptophyta; Magnoliopsida; Malpighiales; Euphorbiaceae. The record is from RNAcentral.
GAACAGUUGACCAUUCCAUUGGCCGAGGACCAACUGUAGCCAAAGCACUUUCUCCUUCUGAAGGGACUUGCAUAUUGAAUUAUGCUUAAUAUUUGACACCGCCUCAACUAAGAAGCAUAGAGAUACGAAGAAGAUGGAUCCGGUGGGGCGUCAGGCGUAGAGUGAACGAAUAGGCGAAGCUAACGAAAACGAAGGAGGCCCGCAGUGGCGUUGUUGGCACGCUGGAGUGCCGGUUGGUCGUCGGAGAAAAUAAGAUGGAAGGGACGAACGAAGAAGACGAUUCCAG